UACGGGGGGGGCAAGCGUUGUUCGGAAUUACUGGGCGUAAAGCGUGCGCAGGCGGUUGGCAAAGUCAGCUGUGAAAGCCCCGGGCUUAACCUGGGAAUGGCGGUUGAAACUAGUCGACUCGAAUCUGGCAGAGGGGGGUGGAAUUCCACGUGUAGCAGUGAAAUGCGUAGAGAUGUGGAGGAACACCGAUGGCGAAGGCAGCCCCCUGGGCUGAGAUUGACGCUCAGGCACGAAAGCGUGGGGAGCAAACAGG
RNAcentral lists this ribosomal RNA (253 nucleotides) under uncultured bacterium. RNAcentral's name for it is "partial 16S ribosomal RNA". It matches the Rfam family "Bacterial small subunit ribosomal RNA", at positions 524 to 776 of the family's 1533-position model. The record is from RNAcentral.